RNAcentral lists this ribosomal RNA (497 nucleotides) under uncultured bacterium. RNAcentral describes it as "partial 16S ribosomal RNA". It matches the Rfam family "Bacterial small subunit ribosomal RNA", at positions 28 to 507 of the family's 1533-position model. The record is from RNAcentral.
GAUGAACGCUGGCGGCGUGCCUAACACAUGCCAGUCGAGCGAACAGAUGAGGAGCUUGCUCCUCUGACGUUAGCGGCGGACGGGUGAGUAACACGUGUAUAACCUACCUAUAAGACUGGGAUAACUUCGGGAAACCGGAUCUAAUACCGGAUAAUAUAUUGAACCGCAUGGUUCAAUAGUGAAAGACGGUUGUGCUGUCACUUAUAGAUGGAUCCGCGCCGCAUUAGCUAGUUGGUAAGGUAACGGCCUACCAAGGCAACGAUGCGUAGCCGACCUGAGAGGGUGAUAGGCCACACUGGAACUGAGACACGGUCCAGACUCCUACGGGAGGCAGCAGUAGGGAAUCUUCGGCAAUGGGCGAAAGCCUGACGGAGCAAGGCCGCGUGUGUGAUGAAGGUCUUCGGAUCGUAAAGCUCUGUUAUUAGGGAAGAACAGAUGUGUAAGUAGCUAUGCACGUCUUGACGGUACCUAAUCAGAAAGCAACGGCUAACUACGUG